RNAcentral lists this ribosomal RNA (663 nucleotides) under Triticum aestivum (bread wheat). Its description in RNAcentral is "partial small subunit ribosomal RNA". Lineage: Eukaryota; Viridiplantae; Streptophyta; Magnoliopsida; Poales; Poaceae. The record is from RNAcentral.
AUGGCGCAUGUCGGGGGCGUCAUCGCUUCUGCCAUCCUCGCUGUUGUGAGCAAGCAGAUCAUGUCCGCCAUCAAAGGCCAGAUCAAGCUGCAGUGGAACUUCGUAAGCGACCUACAGAAGAUGAGAUCGUCGCUGCAGACGGUGGAGGCCCUGCUCGAAGACGCUGAGAGGCGGUCCAUCACGGAUCAGGCGGUGCGUCUGUGGCUGGGGCGGCUCAAGGACACUAUGUAUGAGAUCUCUGACAUGAUCGAUGAUUUCGAAGUCAACACUGAACCUGCUUCACAAAAGUGUUGCCCUCCAAUCAAUGUUUCCAAGUUGAAAAUGGCCAAUAAGAUGAAGAAUAUGAGAGAGCAGUUGAAGGGGAUCGCAGAAGACCGUAUUCCUUUCAUUUUCAUGCAAGAAAAUGCCCCUAGUGUGCCGGAAAUCCAUGAUAACCGGGAAACAAUAGCGGCUGUGACGAAAACACAAGUCGCAGGAGGGAUAAUGAUAAACAGGAAAUCAUGGCUCGUUUAUCUGGGAGCAUCACAAAAGAAAUCACCAUCCUUCCCAUAUAUGGUAUUGGAGGCAUUAGGAAGACAACCAUGGCACAAUUGGUUUUCAAGGAUUCACACUUCAAAGAGUACUCUCGGGUGUGGGUCUAUGUAUCCCAGAAAUUUGAUUUGA